This 343-nucleotide long non-coding RNA is filed under the name Malus domestica (apple). RNAcentral describes it as "long non-coding RNA (MDOM_LNC006106)". The record is from RNAcentral. Lineage: Eukaryota; Viridiplantae; Streptophyta; Magnoliopsida; Rosales; Rosaceae.
GGUGGAUUGUUGGCUGAAAUAAUGAAGAACAUGUGUGUACAAAUGCAAAGGAAAAACACACACACAUGGGCAAAGGAAACACACACACAUGGGCAUAAAAUGGGUUGAUUUGUGGUUGAAAUGAUGGAGGUCAUGUGUGUGUAAAUGUAAAGGGAAAAAACAUGGCAGAAAAUGUGUGUGUUUUGUGGUUGAAAUGAUGAAGCAUGUGUGUGUAAAUGUAAAGAGGAAACAUGCCAACACACACCCACACAAGCUCACAUGCAAAGGAAAUGGAGUGGUCCUCUCCCUAGCUUAUAAAUACAUCCACCCUUCACCAUAACAAGGGGGAAGAAAACCAAAGAGA